RNAcentral lists this long non-coding RNA (2068 nucleotides) under Equus caballus (horse). Its description in RNAcentral is "lncRNA (ENSECAG00000056110.1)". Lineage: Eukaryota; Metazoa; Chordata; Mammalia; Perissodactyla; Equidae. The record is from RNAcentral.
GGGGAACAGAUGGAGGAGGUGAGGGCAGGGAGGUGCUGGGGCAGACAGUGCUGGCCUUGCAUGCUUGGGGACGACUUUGGGUCUUGCUCUGAGCGAGCUGGGAGCCACAGAGGGUUCUGAGCAGAAGAGGGCCAUGCUCUGACUCAGGUGCUCCCAGGCGCCCUCUGGCCACUGUGGGGGUCAGUGUGGGGCUCAAGAACAGAAGCUGGGAGGCCAGGGAGGAGGCGACCACACUGGUCCAGGUGAUCGAUGCUGGGAGUGGGAGCAGGAAGGCUACAGUGGAGGUGAGCAGCGGGCAGGUCUGGGUGUACCUGAGGGUGAGCAGAUGGACUGGAAGUGGGAUGCGGCGGAAAUAGGCAGGUUGUGGCCCGAGCGCCUGGAGGAUGGGGACCACGGAGGGAGGGCAGUUUGCAGGGUCCGUGUAGGCGUCACAUUUGGUUUAAUGGAUCUGCAAGUGGAGGUGUCGUGUUGGGGCCUGAGUUGACAUCAAUAGUCUCAUUUACUCUUUUUGAAUACCUGGGGAGGUAGGUAAUUUCUCCCCAUGUUACAGAAUGGGAAACUGACGCUGCAUAACUCGCCCAAGUAGUUAAAAAAUGGAAUCAGUUCUGAAUCAGGCCUGUGUGAUGCAAGGACCUAGCCUGGAGCCACCGCCCUGGAGCCACCGCCUGCCUGUGCAGGGGACAAGGGGAGGGGCUACAAGGCCCCAGCUUCCCUCUGGCCCAGUGAGCCCCGGCCCCAGGGCAGGACGCAAAAAAUGGAGUAAUCAAGAGAAGCCCUGUUCUGGAAGCUGCGGUGUGACGGUGACUGAGAGACACAAAGGCACCGGCCUCCUGGAGCUGCGACUUCGUCAGGGAGGCUGAAAAUUCACCAGGAACAGGAAGAAAAUUUCAGAGCGCCGACGAACUUAGGAAGGCUAAAACAAUGAUGAGUCAUGACAAGCAGCAUUAUUCACAAAAGCUGGAAAACAGAAACAACCCAAAUGUCCAUCAGUGGAUGAACAGAUAAACGGUGCCAAACACAUUCACGCAACGGAACAUUACUGAGCCGUCAAAAGGAAGCGCUGAUACACACGGCAUGGAUGAACCUUGAAAAACUAUGCUGCUUGAAAGUCAGACAUAAAAGGCCACGUGCCUGUGAUCCCAUUGACAUGAAAUGUCCACAACAGUUGCCCCUCAGUGGGAACAGGCACCAGGUCCACAAAAAACACCUGCACGACAUUCGUAGCAGCUUCCUCGUCACUGCCAGACGCGGGACAGCAGCAGCGUAGCUGGCCCGGCAAACGGAAGACAGGCUGGGGCAUCUUCUCGCCGUGGAGGAUGACGCCACGUGAGAAAGAGCCAGCACCGUGCGCGGAGAAUUAACCCUGUGACAUGAUGAACCCCCAAAACAUCACGCUGAGUGAAAGGGCCAGACACAGAAGGCCGCGGAGUGAGUGACUCAGUUGACGUGCAAGUCCAGGACAGGAACGUCCACAGAGACACCUGCAGUGGGUCCAAUGGUGGCCCCCCAGAAAGAUAUGUCCACACCCGAGCCACCAGAACCUGUGACUGUGACCUUAUUUGGAGAAACGGUGAUUGGAAAUGUCAUUAAAUUAAGAAUCUCGACAUGAGAUCAUCCUGGAUUAGGAUGAGCUCUGAAUCCAUUGACAAACGUCCUUGGAGAGAAGAGAAAGGGAGACAGACACACAGACAGAAGGAAGAAGGCCACAAGGAGACCGAGGCAGAGAGGGCAGGGACACAGCCACAAGCCAAGGGACGCUGCGGCCUCCAGAAGCCUGGGACAUUCUCCCGAGUCUGCAGUGGGCUGCCCUGCUGUCGGCCCUGUGAUGCUGAUUUGGACGUCUGGCCUCCAGAGCUGUGAGACAGUAAAUGUCUAUGGGUUUGUUUUGUUUUCUGUUGUUUUUGAGCCACCCGGUUUGGGGCUGUUUGUUACAGAAGCCACAGGAACCGGUGCUAACUCUCUCAGCGAAUCACCUGAGACUGCCUGGGUAUGUCCUCUGUCUCUCUGCAUCCCUCUUCCCACCCCUCUCCCGCAUCCCUCUUCCCUCCCUCUCCCGCAUCCCUCUUCC